UAGAAAAAUAAGCUAAAAAAGCUUUUGGAUUCAUACUUCAAAAAUAGAAUAAAAUUCUUUUUUCUAA
Molecule: transfer RNA, 67 nt
Filed under: Pseudoregma panicola
Lineage: Eukaryota; Metazoa; Arthropoda; Insecta; Hemiptera; Hormaphididae
Description: tRNA-Met
Source: RNAcentral